UACGUAGGUGGCAAGCGUUGUCCGGAUUUACUGGGCGUAAAGGGCGUGCAGGCGGUUUGUUAAGUGCAGGGUGAAAGCUCCCGGCUCAACUGGGAGAGGUCCUUGCAUACUGGCAAACUCGAGGGAGGCAGAGGAAAGUGGAAUUCCCGGUGUAGUGGUGAUAUGCGUAGAUAUCUGGAGGAACACCGGUGGCGAAGGCGGCGUUCUGGACUGCAACUGACACUGAUGAACGAAAGCCAGGGGAGCAAACGGG
Molecule: ribosomal RNA, 253 nt
Filed under: uncultured bacterium
Lineage: Bacteria
Description: partial 16S ribosomal RNA
Rfam family: Bacterial small subunit ribosomal RNA
Source: RNAcentral